RNAcentral lists this ribosomal RNA (492 nucleotides) under uncultured bacterium. RNAcentral describes it as "partial 16S ribosomal RNA". It matches the Rfam family "Bacterial small subunit ribosomal RNA", at positions 28 to 507 of the family's 1533-position model. The record is from RNAcentral.
GGUGAACGCUGGCGGUAGGCCUAACACAUGCAAGUCGAACGGCAGCACAGUAAGAGCUUGCUCUUACGGGUGGCGAGUGGCGGACGGGUGAGGAAUACAUCGGAAUCUACUUUUUCGUGGGGGAUAACGUAGGGAAACUUACGCUAAUACCGCAUACGACCUACGGGUGAAAGCAGGGGAUCUUCGGACCUUGCGCGAUUGAAUGAGCCGAUGUCGGAUUAGCUAGUUGGCGGGGUAAAGGCCCACCAAGGCGACGAUCCGUAGCUGGUCUGAGAGGAUGAUCAGCCACACUGGAACUGAGACACGGUCCAGACUCCUACGGGAGGCAGCAGUGGGGAAUAUUGGACAAUGGGCGCAAGCCUGAUCCAGCCAUGCCGCGUGGGUGAAGAAGGCCUUCGGGUUGUAAAGCCCUUUUGUUGGGAAAGAAAAGCAGCAGGUUAAUACCCCGCUGUUCUGACGGUACCCAAAGAAUAAGCACCGGCUAACUUCGUG